Molecule: ribosomal RNA, 125 nt
Filed under: Fusarium sp. 14005
Lineage: Eukaryota; Fungi; Ascomycota; Sordariomycetes; Hypocreales; Nectriaceae
Description: partial 18S ribosomal RNA
Rfam family: Eukaryotic small subunit ribosomal RNA
Source: RNAcentral
UCCGGACUGGCCCAGAGAGGUGGGCAACUACCACUCAGGGCCGGAAAGCUCUCCAAACUCGGUCAUUUAGAGGAAGUAAAAGUCGUAACAAGGUCUCCGUUGGUGAACCAGCGGAGGGAUCAUUA